RNAcentral lists this ribosomal RNA (381 nucleotides) under uncultured Alphaproteobacteria bacterium. RNAcentral's name for it is "bacterial SSU rRNA". It matches the Rfam family "Bacterial small subunit ribosomal RNA", at positions 9 to 416 of the family's 1533-position model. Lineage: Bacteria; Pseudomonadati; Pseudomonadota; Alphaproteobacteria. The record is from RNAcentral.
GAGUUUGAUCUUGGCUCAGAACGAACGCUGGCGGCAGGCUUAACACAUGCAAGUCGAACGCGUGUAGCAAUACACGAGUGGCGCACGGGUGAGUAACACGUGGAUAUCUGCCUUUUGGUUCGGAAUAACCCUGGGAAACUAGGGCUAAUACCGGAUGGUUCCUACGGGAUAAAGAUUUAUCGCCAAAAGAUGAGUCCGCGUACGAUUAGCUAGUUGGUGAGGUAAUGGCUCACCAAGGCGACGAUCGUUAGCUGGUCUGAGAGGACGAUCAGCCACACUGGGACUGAGACACGGCCCAGACUCCUACGGGAGGCAGCAGUGGGGAAUAUUGGACAAUGGGGGCAACCCUGAUCCAGCCAUGCUGCGUGAGUGAUGAAGGCC